CAUUCAGGUUUGGGAGUGUAGGCUCAGCCAUGACUUGAUGUCUUUCAGUCAAAUGAACAAGGGCUGCCAUGUGCUGCAGUGUGUACAUCACUGGGAAAUGACACAAGGGACAGCAUUGGCACAGAGGACCUGACUUACGGCGCACCUGUGCCAUGCUGUCGGCGAGGCACGAAAAUAGAGCCCUUAAUCUUAUUUCAGAAACGCCCUGAUCCGGACUGUUCCCACUCCAUUUUUGUUACACUUUUAUCUGUACAAAUACAGCAAUAAGAGACCGACUUUCUGACUUCACGUUUUUGUUGUUUUCGCCAUUAGUCUGGCGGUUGGGCCCCUUUGUAACUGUGGGCUCACUUCGGAACUGUGGAUAUUAUGUGGAUUUUGUAAUUGCACAAAAGUUUUCCCACCCAACUUGUAUAACAUAACAUCACAUGCAUAACUGGGGUAUUUUGUCAGUAAAAUAAAACAUAGUGAUGCUCUGCAUUUAAGGUUACUGUAUUAGGUGGAUAAGAGUAAUUCCAUUACAUAAAUUGAUUGAAUUUAGAGCUGUUGAAAUGCCAGUGUUACCACAUGAGGGCACCCCUUUACUGUGCAACAUACUUGUUAGUUCAUUAUAGAAGUGUGAGGUUUUGAUUUUAAAUAGAUGAACACCUGGACAGGGGUUGCACAGGUGACCAGUAAAUCACAGGACUAUGAAAAACUCUUUUUUUUUCAUCUACAUUAUCUAAACUUCAAUAUUCAUAAUUCAAAAUAAUCAUAGGUUAUGGGUUUUAUUCCAUAUAUCUUUAUCAUUUAUAUUUUACUACUCUAAACUUGAAAGUCCUACUGCUUUCAUAAUUUUUUAAAAUUGUUUUAUUUUAACCUAAUGUCAUAUUUACUCUCAUUUCACAUUUUUUUCUCUAAUGACUCAGGGACACACAAGAAUUCCAGUGUACCUGUUGUCUGUUUAACUUGUACAAAUGGCAAUAAAACUAACCGGGGGAAGAGAAUUUGGAAAAGGAUAUCCUCUGUGUAACACAAAAGCUGCCUCUUUGUUCAUUUGUUCCAUCCUUAUCAAUUAGAAGUUAAAAUGAAAUUGAAAGUGUUGCUAAAAGCCCGCCUUGUCAGCCAAAGAAAGACUUUAUGUAAAACAAAUGCUCAUUGAUAAAAAUGAAGUUCAACAAAAAUCUUAGACUUUAAUUUGAAUUUUAUGCACUCCAUGUGUUACACUAUUUUUAGUCAACAGUGAUGUGGUAUGAAAUGAUUGGGGAACCAUUUUUAGAGCAGAAUUAGUUAUUCUCAAUAUAUUUCCCUUGGAGUCUAUGAGAUGUGAAGUUUAUACAGUAGACAGUGAAAAUAUGUUCACUUUGCUGUGAGAGCGAAUCAUAAAUUGUUUAUAUCUGAAAGACCUUGAAACCUUCAGACCAGGAGUCAGUCCAGAGAGCCAAAAGUUGAAGUUUUCAAAGACGGUUUUAAAAAACAAACAUUUGUGAUGAAGUGCAGUCUGAUGAGGGCCACAAAAUCUCUUGACUUUACACCCCAGGAGCUUCCUCUUUUCUCCAGGAAACAUUACAAAAGAAUAUUUCCACAACACAGAAGAUCACAACUGUAAAAGGGAAGGACAGAGCAGGGAUAUGUAUGACUGUUGCUAUUUAACAAAGAUUUCAGAGGCAGCUUACCUUCAGUUCAGGAACGUAUCUGCUCCCAAGAAACAAACUGUUUGCUGUACCCUUCACAGCAUUUUAGUGUUCUUGUUGUGUUUUCAGGAUGUGAUAUUGUUGUUGUAUUUGAUAACAGCAGCAGUAUCAGUUAUUUUUGAAACAUGAAGUCUGGUGGAGUCCAGAAAUUGUCUUUUGUUCUGUGCAGUAAUUGUUAAAGUUGUGGAAAUCUGGGGGGCUGCAUGUAUUUGUAUACUGCUUUGUGCCAUCAGAUCCAUAUUUAUUUCAUUUCAUUCUGGUUAUUUGCUUGUUUACAUAUGCCAGUUCACAACAAGUGCUAUCCCAAGAUGCUUCAUAAAAAAGCUGGCCUAGACUAAACUCUAUUAACAAAGAUGUAAAGAUGGGACACAAAUGUGCCCUAUCUUGUGAGAUCCCACCCAUUGUCAUCCCAUCUUUAACCACAUGAGUGUAGCACUUGGCAGCAUCUAGCAAAUUAUAGUGGAGAGGAAAAACUUGCCUUUAACAGGCAUAAACCCGAACAGAGCCAGACUCAUAUUAGACAGUCAUCUGCCAUUACUGCAUUGGGGUUAGAGAGGAGAUAGAGAGAGAUGUACAGAGGUGAGACUAAUGCACAUAGGUUGAAUCAGCGGGAAUCAGGCAGCAAAACAUCUGCAGCAGUGAUCCAGAGGAAACUAUAUCAUGAUGGAGCUCAGGGACUCCCAGUAAAGACAGUGUGUUAGUGACUCUGAUGGAACACAAUGAUUCAAAGUUAAUGGCACUGACAGAAAGAGGAUGGAGAAGGAGAGGAAGCAGCUCAAUAUGCCACUACCCCUGGCAGUCUAAACCUAUAGCAGCAUAGCUAAGAGCAGACUGGAAUGUAAACCAGCCCCAACUAAAAGCUUUAUUAAAGAGGAAUAUCUAAAGCCUACUCUCAAGUCUGCUUCCCACAUCUCGACUGGUAGAUGAUUUCAGUGAAGAGGGGUCUCAUAGUUGAAAGCUCUACCACCCAGACCACUUUUUACUUUGUAAGACUUACUCAGAUCCUCCCAGAGGCUCAAGUAGGAAAGAGGGAGGGGAGAAGGAGUGGAGUGGUUUAAACACAGCCGAGUCCUGUUUUCACCAAUCACAUCAGCUAUAUCGAUAUAGACCCAAAUGUAUAUGCUGACUCAGAUAAUUAAGAACCAGAAUCAUUUAUUAAUGGCCACACAACAGAGUUAGUGGAAUUUGUUUUUCCGUAACAGCACUUCAUGUCAGAUACAUACAUGCAAAAAUCAAUAUUGAUAUUGAAUACUGGUUGUUGUUGAUUAUUUAUUGCCAUGAAAUGUGUCUGACACUGUGGAAACCUGCCUGUGAGGUAUUGGUCACAUGUGCGCACUGCUGCCCCAGUUCAAAAUACCACUUGACCAGCUGCGCUCUGUCUGUGCUGAAAGCUGACCAGGUUAGAAUCGGUGAGCUUUCAGCACACUUUCUAUACCGCCGCCGGGCAUAGAAAUAUCACUGCACCAGCUGAUUCUGUUGACACCUCCCCUUACUGCACUGCCCUAACUUGGGGCAUCUCAGUGUGCCCCAGUCUACCAAACUGCCAAACGGACUGUGCAUCGGUCUGCAAUGGACUAAAGUACCACUGGGCAUGGUGCGCCACCCUAUGUCUUCCCCUGUCAGGCACAAAAAUAGAGCCCUUUAAGGUUGAUCAGGCCUACAUUUUAGGACUGCAAAAAUUUCUCCCUGUUCAAUCAAAGUUUUGGGAAAUGACAGACACUGGAGGAGAGCAAAUCCUCAAACUUGACAAUGUCCCAGAGCUAAGCUAUUGUUAGCUGCAGCUUAAUUUAUGACCCCUCUUCAUUGAAGAGCACAGGAGAGACAUUAUUCUGAGAUUUUCUAUUGUGUGUUUUUAUUAUUGUUUUGGUAUUUGAAGAAGUGAAGAACUUGGAGAGACUUCUGUGACUUGCUCCUCACAAAUGUUGAACACUCAACAAAUUCUAUCUUAAAAAUAAGUGAGCUUGUAGAAACAUGGGGAUCUAAUGUAAUUGACAGGGUGGCUUGCAGCCCCAAGGUCAUACAAUGUCCACCCAAGGUUUGCUUUAAACAUUUUAAUAUUUUAACCAUCUUUACAGCAUAAAAAAAAAAAUCAUCUUGAUUAGUAGGGCAGAAAUUCUUAGUCAAAAAAUUGUAUUGCAUGGCUUGGCAUAACUUAACGGGUUUUAACAGUAAUUCUCGAUGUACUUUGUUGCAAACCAUAUAAAGUCAUAAACUUAAUUGGAAAUAGUUCAAAGACAUGUCAAGUGUUGAAAUGUUUUAAAAUUCAAUUAAAAUAUAUACUCAUGUUAAAUUUGAUGCCAUUUUAGUGACAUGUUUCAAAAAGGGUUUGGCACCUGGUGUUGAUUUUCAGACUUUUUGUUUUUGUACAAAAUAAUUUGGAGAUGCUCCUUAAGAAGUAUUUUUUACCAUUACAGUUUUCAGAGCCCAUUUUCCCUGUCCCAACCUUUUGGAAUAUGUUUUAAAUGAGCAGGUAAUGUAUUUUUCACAAAGCAAUAUAGUGUACAUGUCAAUCCUUUAUCUGUUUGUCCACAGGGACAACCCUUUACUACUCAGAAAAACAGAGAGCUCUGUCCUUGAGUCAAGGGAUGGUCAGAAUUCAAACUUUGUUGACAGGCGUGACCAUUCAUCAUUUUCAUCCGCAGAGUGAUUGCAAAUGAUCUCCUUUCAAAUUACCUGCUGGACCAAAGCUUAAGCUAUGCAAAGCCUAUUUGUAAGGGGAUGCUACAAUUUAACAUAAACCAAAGACACUUGGUUAAAUUUAUUCAUUCAUUUGUCUGCAUUUGCUUGUGAACCCAUGUGAACUUAAAACCUCAUCCAAACCUAAAUCCUUUUUAUGUUACAAUGUUAGCAAAGAAAAAAUGUUUGGAGCAUCAAAGACAUUCACUUUGAUUGUUUCAUGUAAACACGUAAACAGUGGGUUAUUUUAAAUUCAGUAUCAAUGAACAAGUACUUUGUGCAAAAUAAAAUAGAAAAAAAUCGGUUUGAUUUUGAGUUAAUUUUUCUGCUAUUGUGUAUGUCUAUCACAUCAAGUCAAAAUGUAAACCGGUGUCAGUCACGUAGCAUUUGUUUGGUUUGCAGGAAACAUUAAGUAGAGACCAAAUUGACUCUUCAGGUAUGUUAAAGUGGACAAAGGUACAAAGGAAAGGUCUACCAAAGAACCCUGCUUACCUUGAAUACAACAAGGGGCUGACUCAGCUCAUCAGAGCGGCAAACAAGGGCAGUGUUUUAUCUACAUCCACCUAGCUCCUAGCACUGUUGUAAUAACUGCAAGACAUUUUGAAAAAGUUGAGAUAUUUCCUGGAGUGGGGUCAACACAAAGAUGUUCUUGAUUCUAUCAGAUGUCACCCUGCAAAAAAAAAAAUUGACUUACAAGGGGAAAAAUAAGUAUUGAACGCAUCAAAGUUUUUCUCUUUACAUUUAUUUCCAAAGAUGCAAUUCAAAUGAAAUUCCUGCGAGGCAUUGGUAUGAAUUCAAAUAAUCCACACAUGAAAAGAAAUCACAACGUUCAAGUCCAUAAAUAAUGAUUAUGCACUAACAGAAAAAAAGUAUUGAACACACCAUGGAAAGGCUGUAUACUUUGGCAAGGAAAUGCGCCACACCACCUGAAAUCUGUCAGUAAUUAUUACUUGUACAUCCAAUCAGUGCAAACCAACAUCAGCUGGGUUAGAGCAAAUUGAUGGUCCUAUAAACAGGUUGUUUUGUCACCAAGAGGUCAAACAAGACACAUCUCAUGAUGGGUAAAGGCAGAGAGCUCUCUGAAGACAUUCGCAACCUGAUUGUUGCUCAGCAUCAGAAUGGAACUGGUUACAGACUUACAUCAAAGCGCCUGAAUAUUCCAGUCAGCACCAUUGGGGCCAUUAUCCGCAAGUGGAAGAAACACCACCUUACCAUCAACAGGCCACGCUCAGGAGCUCCUCGCAAGAUUUCUGACCAGAGAGUACAAAAGAUGGUCAGAAGAGUACUCAAUGGGCCAAGGACCACCCUGAAAGUGCUCCAGAAAGACUUAGAGGCAGCAGGUACAAUUGUUACAGAGAAAACAGUUGGCAAUGCACUCCACCGCCAUGGACUCUAUGGACGCUCAGCCCGCAAGACUCCAUUCCUCAAGAAAAAGCAUGUUGAAGCUUAUUUAAAGUUUGCUAAACAGUAUCUUGACAAGCCUGUAGAAUACUGGGAGAAUGUUGUCUGGUCAGACGAGACCAAAAUUGAAUUUUUCGGCUGUCAUACUGCACACCAUGUUUGGAUAAGAAAUGGCACUGCACAUCACCCAAAAAACACUAUACCGACAGUGAAGUUUGGAGGUGGAAGCAUCAUGGCAUGGGGUUGUUUCUCAUCUCGGGGUAUUGGCAAACUUAAUAUAAUUGAAGGAGCAAUGAAUGGAGCCAUGUAUCGGGGAAAUUCUUGGUAUGAACCUGCGGCCAUCCACCAGGAUGAUGAAGAUGAGACGUGGCUGGUACUUCCAGCAGGACAAAGAGCCAAAGCACACAGCAAAGUUAACUCUCAAAUGGUUUCAAAAAAGAAAAUUAAUCUGUUGGAAUGGCCCAGUCAAUCUCCUGACUUAAAUCCAAUUGAACAUUUGUGGAAGAAACUAAAGAAAAGGGUUCACCAGAGGGCACCAAAAGACAUUCAAGAUUUAAAGACAAUGGGCUCUAUUUUCGUGCCUCGCUGGUGACGCGGCGCAUGCGCAGUGUAAGUCAGGUCCGCCGCGCGGACAAGGCAUUCCCAAGCACAAUUUGGUAUUUUGGUGAGCAGCACAGCCCGGCGUAGGUAUUCCCCCUCCCUAACUCAGCUCCUCCCAGCAGCGUAAGUCGUAGGGAGGGAGGAGAGAGGGCGUGGAGUGGGUUUAACACAGCUGAGACCUGUAUUGACCAAUAACAUCAGCUCCUCUCCUCGCCUUUAAAUCUGCCACAAGCAAGGCGUAUUACUAUUUUUGUGAAGUAGUCAAAGAGAUCAAGAUUUGUCUGAAGACAGUAAUGCCACACGAUGGCGACAGAAGGCAGCUCCUCAACAAGUGUCACUGUAAACGCUGCAGAGGGUGUCUGGACACUCUCUCAUAUGAGCACAGAUGGAUUUGGUGUGUGCGAGGUUGGACCCACUAGUAAGACAAACACCCUUUUCCACAAAUAAAGACACUCACAUAAAGUUGCAUAUAUUCAAACCUCACGUGACAAAGGUGGGUUGUGUGCAGAGAUCACAUCAUAAAUUCCAAAAAUGGCAUUAAAAUCGGAACCAUCUGUGCGUAAAUGACGCAUCGUGCUCCGUGGCCUGGCUCUUUCUUUCAUAGAUGUUGGCAUAUAAAAUAAAUUUGGCUCACAAAACUGAAUAUUAUAAUAUUCGUAUGUAGGCUUAAAGUAAAUAACUCAUCUGAUCACUGAAACAAAUCAUCUGUUCAGCCGUCGCAGCAGCAGCUGCAGCAGGAUGGGGAGCGGACACGGAGACAUGUCCAGGUCGAGCUGCGCGAGAAAUAAGAGGCAGAGGAAGAAAGAAAAGGAGGGAGACGAAUUACAUGUCUUUUUAACUUCAUCAUGUGUGUUUAUUUACUAGAUAUUUAAUUAAUGCGGUUUCAGCUGUGCUGAUUCGGUCAGGUUGUGUAUCCAAACGUGUGCCAAACGCGCUCAUCAGAACAGAUAUAGAUCAGAAUAUACAUCUAUAGAUCUAAAUAUAUGUGUUGACUCAGAUUAUUAGUUGUUGAUGAUUAUUUAUUGCACUGAAAUGUGCCUGACACUGUGGAAACCUGCCUGUGAGGCAUCAGUGACAUAUGCCGAUACGCCGCCAGUCUACCAAAACACCACUAGACCAGCUGCGCUCCGCCUGCGCUG
Molecule: non-coding RNA, 7486 nt
Organism: Xyrichtys novacula (pearly razorfish)
Lineage: Eukaryota; Metazoa; Chordata; Actinopteri; Labriformes; Labridae
Source: the annotation of a GenBank genome assembly